RNAcentral lists this non-coding RNA (98 nucleotides) under uncultured Apibacter sp. RNAcentral describes it as "SAM riboswitch (S box leader)". It matches the Rfam family "SAM riboswitch aptamer (S box leader)". Rfam says of the family: The SAM riboswitch is found upstream of a number of genes which code for proteins involved in methionine or cysteine biosynthesis in Gram-positive bacteria. The SAM riboswitch acts at the level of transcription termination control. Lineage: Bacteria; Pseudomonadati; Bacteroidota; Flavobacteriia; Flavobacteriales; Weeksellaceae. The record is from RNAcentral.
GCUUAUCAAGAAAGGAGGAGGGACUGGCCCUAUGAUACCUUGGCAACCGGCCUGACUGGGCUUGGUGCUAAUUCCAACCCUAAAUGGGGGAAGAUGAG